This 492-nucleotide ribosomal RNA is filed under the name uncultured bacterium. Its description in RNAcentral is "partial 16S ribosomal RNA". It matches the Rfam family "Bacterial small subunit ribosomal RNA", at positions 29 to 507 of the family's 1533-position model. The record is from RNAcentral.
AGUGAACGCUGGCGGUAGGCCUAACACAUGCAAGUCGAACGGCAGCACAGUAAGAGCUUGCUCUUACGGGUGGCGAGUGGCGGACGGGUGAGGAAUACAUCGGAAUCUACUUUUUCGUGGGGGAUAACGUAGGGAAACUUACGCUAAUACCGCAUACGACCUACGGGUGAAAGCAGGGGAUCUUCGGACCUUGCGCGAUUGAAUGAGCCGAUGUCGGAUUAGUUAGUUGGCGGGGUAAAGGCCCACCAAGGCGACGAUCCGUAGCUGGUCUGAGAGGAUGAUCAGCCACACGGGAACUGAGACACGGUCCAGACUCCUACGGGAGGCAGCAGUGGGGAAUAUUGGACAAUGGGCGCAAGCCUGAUCCAGCCAUACCGCGUGGGUGAAGAAGGCCUUCGGGUUGUAAAGCCCUUUUGUUGGGAAAGAAAAGCAGCAGGUUAAUACCCCGCUGUUCUGACGGUACCCAAAGAAUAAGCACCGGCUAACUUCGUG